GUGGGGCCUUUUAUUUCCCCGCCCUGUGGCUAUGGCUUCGCUUCCCGGAUCCAAGAUGGCCGCCGGGCUGGAGGCUCAACGGAAGGGAGGGAGCAGACGCUCUGUAAUCACGCUCACCGCAGCCUCUAUGUGUUCUACAGCUCUGACUUCCAGCACUUGCCUACAUGUGCUCCAACUGCCAUUAGGUGGAGGGAGUAGCUGGAGCAGAUUGGCAGAGUUGUUGCUGUGAAAGAUGAGAGGUGAUCUUGCCUCAGGGAUUGCCAUCAGUCUGGUGACAUAAAUGUCAGCGGUCUCCAGGGAUCAAUGAGAGGCCCAGGUGUCCUCCCUCCACUGCCUCUGGCUCCUUGGCCAUGACUGGACCUGCCACAGAAGGCACUGGAUGCACGUUAGUCCUUUCAUUGCCUCUGCAUCAUCCCUUCGCCUCCCAGCUGCUGGUCCGGCCCGCACAGAUCCUUCCUGCCCAGCUUUGUCCUCUGUCCCACGGGCAGAGCUGGUUUUGGUGGAGGCCCACAGAUUGAGGAGCUGGACAGAGAACGCAGGCACUAACAUGGAAUCAGUUGAGGCAUGUUUUGAAGAGGGAACAAACAUUGCAGGAUAUAGAUAUGGGGAAAGGUUUGGAGGGACAGAGCUGUAGCCCUCUUUACUUCCCACACCAUGCAGGUUUAGGUUGCCAACCUCUCGGUUGGGCCAGGAGUCUCCCAAAAUUGGGCUCGAUCUCCUGGAGGCUAGUGAAGACAAUCCGGGAGAUUUUAGGCCACUAAAAAUCCAGCGGCACAAAGGGGCUAAGGCAGGCUUCCUACUUGCCCUGACUCCAUGCUGCUCCUAGAAACAGCGACAUGUCCAGCAAAGGCUCCUAGGUGGAGGCUCAGCCAGGGCAUCUCUGCACACUGCCUCAGCAGCUCCAUUGGCCAGGAAUGGGGAACUGUGGCCAAUGGGAGCUGCGGGGGUGGUGCUUGCAGGCAGGAGCAGCGCGCACGGCCACCUGUGAGCCUAGGAGCCGCUGCCGGACAUGCCACCGCUUCCAGGAGCUACCUGAGGUAAGCGCCACCCAGCCAGAGUCUGCACCCCAAACCCCCUGCCGCAACCCAACCCCCUGCCCCAGCUCUGAGUCCCCUCUCACACUCAAACUCUCUCCCAGAUCCCGAACCCACCCUGCACACCAGCCCCCAGUCCUGAGCCCCCUCACACACCCAAACUCCCUCCCAGAGCCUGCACCCUGAAACUCCUGCCCCAGGUCAGAACCCCCUCCUGCACCUGAACCCCCUCCUGCACCCUAACCCUCUGCCUCAGCCCUGAGCCCCCUCCUGCACCCAAACUCCUCCUUGGAGGCUGCACCCUGACCGCCCUUCCGCACCCCAACCCUUGCCCCAGCCUGGUGAAAGUGAGUGAGUGUGGGGGAGACUGAGCGAUGGAGGUAGCGGGGUUGGAGUGGGGGCAGGGUCUUGGAGAAGGGGCAGAUCGAGGGUGUUUGGGUUUGUGCGAUUAGACAAUUGCAGCUUUGACCCCUCUUUUCCUCCCCAUACUCUCCUGCACUGCUCCGCCCUCCCUUCUUUAGAAGCAGUAGCCUGGUUGGGGCAGGACAGAGACUUGAUGUUCCUUCCACGGAUCAGGCAGGAACUGUUGAGGGCUGGAAGGCAGGAAUGAGGGCGGGUAUUAGGUAACUCCACACUGACCUUCCCCUCCAAAUAUGUUACUGCAGGAGAGCAUGCCCAACUUUCUCCCUGUAUGACAUCUGCUCUGUCAGCACUACUAAGUUCCCACUGAGCAAACGUCCCUUUGACGAGGGAUCGCAACUGCCAAAAAAACAAACACACGGCAGCAAGUGUCAAAGUCCAGGUCAACUGCUCGGGCUCACCCUCUGAGGCUGAAAAUAGCAGGGUAGACAUUCCUACUUGGGCUGGAGCCCAAGCUGUGAAACCCAGCAACAGGAGGUGGUCUCGGAGCUCAGGUUCCAGCCCGAGCUGGAACAUAUACACUCCUUUUUUUUCACCCUGUAAGUGCAAGCUCCAUGAGCCCGAGUCACUUGACCUGGGCUCUGAGACUUGCUGCUGUGGGGGUUUUAUUGUGUGUAGACGUACUCCAUAGAAAAGCUACAUUUUUUGGAAACGCAGUUCUAGUGAAGGCUCUAGUCCUCACACUGGGUUUUCAAAAAAAUUUGUUUGGAAGAUCUCCUACGCUAGGAAGGGUCAUUGUCUCUGGGUGUUCUGGCCCCUCAUUAGCUGUGCCUGAGCUAGGUCUAAGGGCAAAGGUUAGCAAAGGGGCAGACCCCACAGCCUGCAUCUUAAAGAAGUAGCAAAGGGUGUGGUCCCUAUUUCUUUAAAUCCUUAAUUGCACAUGAUUUUAAUGAUGGGUCUCUGAGACUGUGGUAGCAAAAGACUCCAGUAACUGCUCUUUCAAAUGUCUCUCCAAUGAUGGCUUGGCUCAGCUUUCUCUGAAUUUUCCAGCCACCAUUGCUCUCUGUGCAUCAGAGAUUUAAGAACUCUUCACCCAUUCAGGGUUCGGAAUUGCCCACUCUUGAUUUCUUCAAUUCCAUCCCUUUCCCCAAAAUCUGGGAGCAUAGCUAGGCUGGGCAGUGUGCGCUGAAGAUCAACAGACCCAGGCUCUGUCAGACCAAGAGUGGGGAAGUGAGUUCCAGAGUUGAAGUGUCCGUCCCCCCCCCGACAAUGCCCUUCCAUUUAAAGCAGAAGGUCUGCCAGCUUGAGUGCUUCUGCUGCUCGGGUGUCACCUGGGGAGGUAAAGAGACCUGGGAAACAGAGCACGGAGCUGGGGCUCUGGAGAACUAUUUGCAGCUGUGCCCAAGCUCACCCAGCCGGUCAGUGGCUGGCAGCAAGUCACUUCCCCUCUCGGCUUCCUUUAAAGCACUGCUGAAUAACACUCUAUGAAAGCGAGGUAUUGUUAUUGAUAAUGUAGAUGUGUAGAAGUCAUGCACAUCUACUGCUGAAAAGCACGUGGUCAGAGCUUGUUAUUAUUCUUCACACCAGGAGAAAGGCGCUCCCAAAGGACGCCAGGUCCCACACAGCUCCAGAGUCUAUACAAAAUGCUCUUCUACGUCUGUAGCGCUCUUUAUUUGUAUGCAGCAAAGCGGUACUGAUACGCUUGCACAUGUUCCUGGAGACAGCUGCUUCAGUUUGCAAGCCCAAAAUACAGGGUUCUGUUGCUCACUCUGCAUUAUGGGGUUGGUUUGCUGUGAAACUAUACCAGGCCUUGUUUCAUUCAGACACAGGGAGUGAGUGCAGACUCCAUGCGAAUUAUUGCUGUGCGAGUGUGAGUGAGAGGGGGAUGAGAGCAGGGGGACCCAUGGGGAAGGUGAUGUCUGAAACUGUUUGCUGGCAGCCUAGCAUGCAGAAGCUGAGGUGACUCUGGAAGGCUGGAAAUAGUGAUAAUUUGUCCUGGGAAGCAAAGUUGAUCUGAUUGAGCCUGUCUGGAUGGUGAAGUCCUGCCACAAUGUGUCGGACUGGACUCUGAGGAAAGAUUUCCCUAUUGUUGAUGGCUGUUUAGUGUCCAUAAUGUGCUUGGUGCUGUACAAGACACAAAGAGCAACCCUUCUCUGAAGAGCUCAGCAACGCUGAGGGUUGUAUAAACUGGGGAAUUUAGAAGAGGGAAUUCAGAGCCCUAGUAGGGCUUUUGGGUUCUUCCUUGUACAGAGAUGAACUGGUUUUUGUGGGCUUUGGAGAAGAAGUGGGUUUUUAAGAGGAAAUGAGUGAAGAGUGGGGUUAACAGCCUUGAACAGGGAUUGGUAUACCACACCUAGGGUACAGCACGGUAAAAUGUAGGGAGAUAGGAAUGGGACAGAGAAAGAGCAGGGAUUCAAGACUGGUCAGCCCGUGAAACCUUGUUAGGGGUUGAGUUGAAACCACAUUCAAACUGACAUGUGCACACAAGACCUUCAGUUAAGAUAGACAUCCGGGACAGUUAAGGAGGCCACACUUAAAACAAAGCCUAAUAGAGUCUGCCUAGAAACUAGUACUGGGUAUUGUGACCAGGUGCAAUGACUGUGCGUGCGAGAGGAAUGACACAAACUGAGAACAGACAAGAACCGAGAGAGAGGCUGAGGCAGAAAGCAAAGAGGGCCUCUAGCUCUGGAACUCACCACCCCACUCGUGGGCUGAUAGAGCCUGCCCCUGUUGACUCUUAAGGCAUACUGCAAAGUUGAUC
This is a long non-coding RNA of Chelonia mydas (Green sea turtle), 4155 nucleotides long. RefSeq lists it as uncharacterized. Lineage: Eukaryota; Metazoa; Chordata; Testudines; Cheloniidae. The transcript has 3 exons. The record is from RefSeq and is a predicted model, not a curated record.